This 72-nucleotide transfer RNA is filed under the name Danionella translucida. It matches the Rfam family "tRNA". Rfam says of the family: Transfer RNA (tRNA) molecules are approximately 80 nucleotides in length. Their secondary structure includes four short double-helical elements and three loops (D, anti-codon, and T loops). Further hydrogen bonds mediate the characteristic L-shaped molecular structure. tRNAs have two regions of fundamental functional importance: the anti-codon, which is responsible for specific mRNA codon recognition, and the 3' end, to which the tRNAs corresponding amino acid is attached (by aminoacyl-tRNA synthetases). tRNAs cope with the degeneracy of the genetic code in two manners: having more than one tRNA (with a specific anti-codon) for a particular amino acid; and 'wobble' base-pairing, i.e. permitting non-standard base-pairing at the 3rd anti-codon position. Lineage: Eukaryota; Metazoa; Chordata; Actinopteri; Cypriniformes; Danionidae. The record is from Rfam by way of RNAcentral. RNAcentral also lists the same sequence under 1 other name.
GGCUUGUUGGUCUAGAGGUAUGAUUCUCGCUUUGGGUGCGAGAGGUCCCGGGUUCAAAUCCUGGACGAGCCC